GAUGAACGCUGGCGGCGUGCCUAAUACAUGCAAGUCGAGCGAACGGACGAGAAGCUUGCUUCUCUGAUGUUAGCGGCGGACGGGUGAGUAACACGUGGAUAACCUACCUAUAAGACUGGGAUAACUUCGGGAAACCGGAGCUAAUACCGGAUAAUAUUUUGAACCGCAUGGUUCAAAAGUGAAAGACGGUCUUGCUGUCACUUAUAGAUGGAUCCGCGCUGCAUUAGCUAGUUGGUAAGGUAACGGCUUACCAAGGCAACGAUGCAUAGCCGACCUGAGAGGGGGAUCGGCGGCACGGGAGGGGAGACACGGUCCAGGGGCCUACGGGAGGCAGCAGUAGGGAAUGGGCCGCAAUGGGCGGAAGCCUGACGGAGCAGCGCGGCGUGAGUGGUGGAGGUCUUCGGAGCGUAAAGCUCGGUUAUGGGGGAAGAACAUAUGUGUAAGGAGCUGUGCAGAGCGUGACGGUACCUGGUCAGGAAGCCACGGCUAACUACGUG
RNAcentral lists this ribosomal RNA (497 nucleotides) under uncultured bacterium. Its description in RNAcentral is "partial 16S ribosomal RNA". It matches the Rfam family "Bacterial small subunit ribosomal RNA", at positions 28 to 507 of the family's 1533-position model. The record is from RNAcentral.